UAACACGUGAGUAAUCUGCCCUUCACUUCGGGAUAACCGCCGGAAACGGUGGCUAAUACCGAAUACGACGCACUCUCGCAUGAGAUGUGCGUGGAAAGUUUUCUCGGUGGAGGAUGUGCUCGCGGCCUAUCAGCUUGUUGGUGAGGUAACGGCUCACCAAGGCUUCGACGGGUAGCCGGCCUGAGAGGGUGACCCGCCACACUGGGACUGAGACACGGCCCAG
This 223-nucleotide ribosomal RNA is filed under the name uncultured bacterium. RNAcentral's name for it is "partial 16S ribosomal RNA". It matches the Rfam family "Bacterial small subunit ribosomal RNA", at positions 111 to 334 of the family's 1533-position model. The record is from RNAcentral.